This 70-nucleotide transfer RNA is filed under the name Temnopleurus reevesii. RNAcentral describes it as "tRNA-His". It matches the Rfam family "tRNA". From Rfam's summary of the family: Transfer RNA (tRNA) molecules are approximately 80 nucleotides in length. Their secondary structure includes four short double-helical elements and three loops (D, anti-codon, and T loops). The record is from RNAcentral. Lineage: Eukaryota; Metazoa; Echinodermata; Echinoidea; Temnopleuroida; Temnopleuridae.
GACUAAAGUAGUUUAACAAAAAUAUCAGACUGUGGCACUGAAGAAGCCAGUUAGAAUCUGGCCUUAAGUC